CUGCAUUCAGCCUUCUUUUCCGAGAUGUCAUCUUGCUGGAGGGCAGAAGGAUUCCCUGGAACCUGGGGGCCAGCAGGACAGAGGAAACAGAAAGUACAUGACUGAUGAUGUCUUUCGACCACAGAAAGGGCUGGAAGAAGCAGGGGACCUACUGUUUGAAUAAACCCAGUGGAAAAACAGAAGCCCCAUUUCAUACUUGACUCAGCUCUUCAAGUUUAAAUCUUGAAUCUCCUCAACUACACGGAACAGUGUUUCUCCCAAGUCAUCUGACACCCACUCUGUUCUCUGGAUCAUUCCUUCCUAGAGAACGUUGCUCUUGGAGGGCUGUGAUCUGCUCUCACCCACUUGCCUUUCUGACCCGCUGAGUGCAUCUCAACAGUCACUUGGGGUGAUCCGAUCUGACCAGGAAGGGUUGGGUGGCUCGUGGAGCUUGGGAAGCACUCUCACGGUGGCGGUCCCCAUUGGUGGUCACGGGGUUGCCACAGUGAGCUACGUUUCUACCCUCAUCUCUCUAUAUGUUACCGUGGAAUCUCUGACUGAGGACCCAUGGGCUCACCCAAUGUGAUAAAGUCCUGAAGCUCAGCCGGGACGUCUGACCCCAGCUGCAGGACUUUCCAAUAGACAGAUGCAUAGAACUUGAGAAGAAAUCGACUUAGAAACCUGAAGUUGGAAAACUGGUUGCCUGACAUUCUGUGCAAGACUGAAUCUCUGAGAAAUGAAGGCUGUGUAACUUUGGGACCAUGUCUUUUCCAGCCUACAUAGACCCCAGGAAACUUUGCAGUUGUUCCCCAAGUAUGGAUGGAGUCAAACUUGAUGUCCUUUCAUCCCCCCAUCCCAUCCACUAAUCCAUAUCCUUUGGAAAUUUUAGAGUGCCAGGCCUCAGGUAAAU
RNAcentral lists this long non-coding RNA (889 nucleotides) under Pan troglodytes (chimpanzee). RNAcentral describes it as "long non-coding RNA NONPTRT009487". Lineage: Eukaryota; Metazoa; Chordata; Mammalia; Primates; Hominidae. The record is from RNAcentral.